ACCCAUCCCGGCCGCGGAGCCCAGACCCACCCCGAGCGCAGGCCCGCCUGGCGGGAGUCGCCCUCCUCUCGAGGAAUGCCGAGGCCCGCAGGAGGAUUCCUUGACCUGACCUCGGGCCUCUGAGCAGCGGGCUCUGGCUGCGCCCGAGAACAGGAGGCUCCCCCAGGGGGUGUCUGGGCCGGCGGGCGAGCCCCCUUCCCGGAGGAGCCGCGGGGCCCAUGCCCUCUGUGUCGGGGCUAAAGCUGUCAGCUCCUGCAAAGAUGAACGGCCCAUGUGGUCGCCUGAGCCCCCCAACCUCUGCUUGGUGGAACAUGAUGUUAAAGAGUUCUGCUGGCCCUAAAGUCAGAAGCCUGGAUUGAAACGAACCUGCCCGCCUCCCUCUUUGUUGCUGAUGCAUCUGGUCAUUGGUGCCUACUACUUUGGUCCCACACACACUCAGUGUGGCCAGCCCCCACCUGGAGAGUUCACCGUGGUGCUCAAGAGCCAGACAGGCAAGGUCAUUGUCCACCCACGGGACCAGAGGAAGACCUCAGGCCCCACCCACUCCCCACAGACAAGCUGGGGCUGUAUGAAGUCUAAAGGAAGAUAAAUUAUUCCAAAUGAUCUGGAAAGAAAGUGAUAGACGACAAAUACAUUUCCAAGCCCUGGAUAUUGUAUAAAAAGCAAACAAAACAAAACAAAACAAAACUUCUCUUUUCUCUCGCUGGGAUUUCUGAUGAUGCAGUAAACAAGUCCCAACAGGUGACCUAAUCAAAAAUAGCUAUCAUAUAGCACUUAGAAAUGUAUAUAGCUCAACCAUCAACCUUGCAGAGUAAGGAAAGAAGAAACUGAAGUAUUUAUACUUCACUGGCAAACAAUGGAAUAGAUUGUCUCUAAAUAUGUCUUCCAGCUAAAAAAUUCUGCAGCGUAGUUUCUAUAAAUGACUUUAAUCUGAUUUUAAUAUUCAUUCAGCAAGAUAUUUGAAAAUUAUUUAAGUGCCUGUUAUAUACUAAACACAGAUAUACAUUAAUGAAUAAAAUAGACACAGGUCUCUCCUACGGGCUACAGCCAACCAACUGACAAACAGUUACAGGUAUACUUACAAACUGCGUACAUCUGGGGGGACAAUUAGAUUCAGAGAUAGAGAAUAACAUAAUGUAUCUAUAUAGACAGACAGAUUAGAAAUGGCCUCUCUAAGCAGAAAACAUAUAAAUUAACAUUUGAACAAUUAAAAAAAAGUCUACACUAGCCAUGUACAGGGCUCAGAUGUAUUGAUGUUCCAGGAAAAUUUAAAAACACAUACACAUGCACACAGCCUAGGGAAAGACCCUGAGAAGGAAAGGCAUGGUCUAUUUAAAGAGUAGAACAUUAUGGAUACAGACAUUUGCAGACUGGAGAACAAGCUAGAAUCAAAGCCUGUCAGGGUUUGAUUGGGUAAUCUAAUUUGGCCGUCUGACCAGUUCUUAAAUCCCCAUCAUAGAAUGCCUUCUAAAUAGCCAACCAGUACUAGGAGAGGGAGAUGGAAAAAUAAUAAAUAAAAAUAAACAAAUAGCCAACCAGUUUGUGCUCAAGUCUCUCCAAUGAGAGGGAAUGUACUACCUCUUGAAGUAUCCAUGUCAAUUUGGUUUUAAAAUAUGAAUGUGUUCCACCUUAAGGAAGCUGGAACUGGAAUCAUGAGUUGUAAGUCCCAGUCCUGCACCUGAGAAAAUUUUUUAGUUGAAAUGGAAGACGCUAGUUAGAUAGCCAUAUCUCCGACUCAUUAUUAUAUGGGGUGCCAAGAACAGGCAGCCAGAUUUCAAGUUCAUCAUCUUUUUUGAAGGAGAAAAAAAAUUGAGAAUGAUAAGACAGCUCUCACAAGCUUUCUACACUUUUCUGUUGUAGCAAAAUUCAGGUCAGCAUCCUGGCAAGCCAAUGAUUGCACAAUAAGGUCAGUUGCACUCUUGUAAGACAGCCGUGUUAUUUGGGCUGCAGUGGGGAGGUGGGAGUGACUUUCCUGUGGUCCUUGUGGCACGUCACAUGGAAGAAGUGCAUUGUACCCUCCAAGUUUACAAAGCCUUUGAUAGCAUGAGUUGGCUUCCACAUGGCCAGUUACUGACCUCCCUAAAGAAGCUCUAUAGGAACCCAGGAAGAUCCUGCCAGUUAUUUGCUGGUAUUGCCCACAGCCAGCACAUACCACCAAUAGUUUGAGGCUGGUUUGAGUAUUUAUUUUUUCCAGAGUACCUAAAGAAACUUAAGUUUCCUGGUCUUAGGAGAGGCACUUCCAACUUUACAGUUCACAGACCAUCUUCUCUUAAAGUCAUCUAUGAAUUUUCAUAUGGUGACUGUUGACCCAGCCUCAUUGAAGCAGCCUUCAAAGGAUUUUGGCUUGUCUUUCAGACAGGCUAAGUGUGUGAAGGCCAGGCGCAGUGGCUCACGCCUAUAAUCCCAGCACUUUGGGAGGCCGAGGCAGGCGGAUCAUGAGGUUAGGAGAUGGAGACCAUCUUGGCCAAUACGGUGAAACCCCAUCUUUACUAAAAUACAAAAACUUGCCGGAUGUGGUGGCACAUGCCUGUAAUCCCAGCUACUUGGGGAAUCACUUGAACCUGGGAGGCGGAGGUUGCAGUGAGCUGAGAUCGCACCACUGCACUCCAGUCUGGCGACAGAGCAAGAUUCCAUCUCAAAAAAAAAAAAAAAAAA
This 2655-nucleotide long non-coding RNA is filed under the name Macaca mulatta (Rhesus monkey). RNAcentral's name for it is "lncRNA (ENSMMUG00000056698.1)". Lineage: Eukaryota; Metazoa; Chordata; Mammalia; Primates; Cercopithecidae. The record is from RNAcentral.